This 201-nucleotide ribosomal RNA is filed under the name uncultured bacterium. Its description in RNAcentral is "partial 16S ribosomal RNA". It matches the Rfam family "Bacterial small subunit ribosomal RNA", at positions 1300 to 1500 of the family's 1533-position model. The record is from RNAcentral.
GUAGGCUGCAACCCGCCUGCGUGAAGUUGGAAUUGCUAGUAAUCGCGGAUCAGCAUGCCGCGGUGAAUACGUUCCCGGGCCUUGUACACACCGCCCGUCACACCAUGGGAGCCGGUAAUGCCCGAAGUCAGUAGCCUAACCGCAAGGAGGGCGCUGCCGAAGGUAGGAUUGGCGACUGGGGUGAAGUCGUAACAAGGUACC